This 430-nucleotide ribosomal RNA is filed under the name uncultured bacterium. Its description in RNAcentral is "partial 16S ribosomal RNA". It matches the Rfam family "Bacterial small subunit ribosomal RNA", at positions 338 to 795 of the family's 1533-position model. The record is from RNAcentral.
CCUACGGGUAGCUGCAGUCGAGAAUCUUCGGCAAUGGACGCAAGUCUGACCGAGCGACGCCGCGUGCGGGAUGAAGGCCUUCGGGUUGUAAACCGCUGUCAGUGGGGAGGCCUAUCCGCAGAGGAAGUGAGGGCUAAGCUCGUGCCAGCAGCCGCGGUAAGACGAGCCUCACAAACGUUAUUCGGAAUUACUGGGCUUAAAGGGUGCGUAGGCGGCGUAGAAAGUUGGGUGUGAAAUCCCUCAGCUUAACUGAGGAAGGGCGCCCAAAACUACUAUGCUCGAGGGAGAUAGAGGAGUGCGGAACUUAGGGUGGAGCGGUGAAAUGCGUUGAUAUCCUAGGGAACACCGGUGGCGAAAGCGGCACUCUGGUCCUUCUGACGCUGAGGCACGAAAGCUAGGGUAGCAAACGGGAUUAGAUACCCCUGUAGUC